Physella acuta is the source of this 435-nucleotide long non-coding RNA. RefSeq lists it as uncharacterized. The record is from RefSeq and is a predicted model, not a curated record. NCBI's taxonomy places the organism in Eukaryota, Metazoa, Mollusca, Gastropoda, Physidae.
CCAAGUCAAAGGUGACACGCGAUUUGACUUCUGCGUGCGCGAGGCCGGUGUGACGUUGUCGUCUGCCACCUGUACGUUCGACUGAAGCUUCCCACGAACGAGAUUGCGUCGUGUGCUGAAAUUCUAUUUGUCAGUUUGGCUUCACCGACUAACCAGAUACAAUCAUGAGGCCUUUGGUCAACACAAAAGAGACGAGAAAAGAGAAAAGAGAGAGGAAAUUAGAAUACGACAAAAACAAACAAAAUUUAUGGCGGGUGACAAUACCAGCAUUCCUCGCAGUAAUCGCUCUCAUCGUUUUAUUUGUGUAUGCGAAUACAAGACCCAAAAACUAUAAAUAGACGUAACAGAAUUCUUGAAUUAUACGACAAAAACAAUAAUUAAUAUGUGUACAUUAUAAUUUCUUGCUUUUUACAAUAAAGUUGGUGGAGUUUCUCA